AGUGAACGCUGGCGGUAGGCCUAACACAUGCAAGUCGAACGGCAGCACAGUAAGAGCUUGCUCUUACGGGUGGCGAGUGGCGGACGGGUGAGGAAUACAUCGGAAUCUACUUUUUCGUGGGGGAUAACGUAGGGAAACUUACGCUAAUACCGCAUACGACCUACGGGUGAAAGCAGGGGAUCUUCGGACCUUGCGCGAUUGAAUGAGCCGAUGUCGGAUUAGCUAGUUGGCGGGGUAAAGGCCCACCAAGGCGACGAUCCGUAGCUGGUCUGAGAGGAUGAUCAGCCACACUGGAACUGAGACACGGUCCAGACUCCUACGGGAGGCAGCAGUGGGGAAUAUUGGACAAUGGGCGCAAGCCUGAUCAGCCAUACCGCGUGGGUGAAGAAGGCCUUCGGGUUGUAAAGCCCUUUUGUUGGGAAAGAAAAGCAGCAGGUUAAUACCCCGCUGUUCUGACGGUACCCAAAGAAUAAGCACCGGCUAACUUCGUG
This 491-nucleotide ribosomal RNA is filed under the name uncultured bacterium. RNAcentral's name for it is "partial 16S ribosomal RNA". It matches the Rfam family "Bacterial small subunit ribosomal RNA", at positions 29 to 507 of the family's 1533-position model. The record is from RNAcentral.